Molecule: ribosomal RNA, 414 nt
Filed under: uncultured bacterium
Lineage: Bacteria
Description: bacterial SSU rRNA
Rfam family: Bacterial small subunit ribosomal RNA
Source: RNAcentral
GAGCGCCGUAGCAAUACGGAGCGGCAGACGGGAGAGUAACACGUGGGAACGUGCCCUUCAGUUCGGAACAACCCAGGGAAACUUGGGCUAAUACCGGAUACGUCCGUAAGGAGAAAGAUUUAUCGCUGAAGGAUCGGCCCGCGUCUGAUUAGCUAGUUGGUGGGGUAAUGGCCCACCAAGGCGACGAUCAGUAGCUGGUCUGAGAGGAUGAUCAGCCUCACUGGGACUGAGACACGGCCCAUACUCCUACGGGAGGCAGCAGUGGGGAAUAUUGGACAAUGGGCGCAAGCCUGAUCCAGCCAUGCCGCGUGGAUGAUGAAGGCCCUAGGGUUGUAAAGUCCUUUCGGCGGGGAAGAUAAUGACGGUACCCGCAGAAGAAGCCCCGGCUAACUUCGUGCCAGCAGCCGCGGUAAU